UACGAAGGGGGCUAGCGUUGCUCGGAAUCACUGGGCGUAAAGGGUGCGUAGGCGGGUUUUAAGUCAGAGGUGAAAUCCUGGAGCUCAACUCCAGAACUGCCUUUGAUACUGAAAGUCUUGAGUAUGGGAGAGGUGAGUGGAACUGCGAGUGUAGAGGUGAAAUUCGUAGAUAUUAGGAAGAACACCAGUGGCGAAGGCGGCUCACUGGCCCGGAACUGACGCUGAGGUACGAAAGCGUGGGGAGCAAACAGGG
RNAcentral lists this ribosomal RNA (253 nucleotides) under uncultured bacterium. RNAcentral describes it as "partial 16S ribosomal RNA". It matches the Rfam family "Bacterial small subunit ribosomal RNA", at positions 524 to 777 of the family's 1533-position model. The record is from RNAcentral.